GACGAACGCUGGCGGCGUGCUUAACACAUGCAAGUCGAACGCUGAAGCUCAGCUUUUGUUGGGUGGAUGAGUGGCGAACGGGUGAGUAACACGUGAGUAACCUGCCUCCUUCUUUGGGAUAACGCCCGGAAACGGGUGCUAAUACUGGAUAUUCACUGGUCUUCGCAUGGGGGUUGGUGGAAAGGGUUUUUCUGGUGGGGGAUGGGCUCGCGGCCUAUCAGCUUGUUGGUGGGGUGAUGGCCUACCAAGGCUUUGACGGGUAGCCGGCCUGAGAGGGUGACCGGUCACAUUGGGACUGAGAUACGGCCCAGACUACUACGGGAGGCAGCAGUGGGGAAUAUUGCACAAUGGGCGCAAGCAUGAUGCAGCGACGCCGCGUGAGGGAUGGAGGCCUUCGGGUUGUGAACCUCUUUCGCUCAUGGUCAAGCCGCAACAAUGGUUGUGGUGAGGGUAGUGGGUAAAGAAGCGCCGGCUAACUACGUG
This 483-nucleotide ribosomal RNA is filed under the name uncultured bacterium. RNAcentral describes it as "partial 16S ribosomal RNA". It matches the Rfam family "Bacterial small subunit ribosomal RNA", at positions 28 to 507 of the family's 1533-position model. The record is from RNAcentral.